UCUACUACAAAAACAGUAAACAAGUCUGUAGCUUUUAUCAGCUGUGUCUCAUGCCAUUUUAUGUUUAAGAUAACAUUAUGCAGGAAAAUGAAAGGUCUAACUUUUGUUCCCAACAGCUACCAACAACAGUGGUGACCACCUGCACCCUACCCCCAACUACACAUCACCUGACCAGAUCCUGGUGUAUUUUGUGAGUGAGGAGUUCGGCAGUAUCCCUGGUAUCCAGGGUCUGUUUGUUUCCUGUCUAUUCAGUGGGACACUCAGUGUUGCAGCCUCUGGGUUCAAUGCCCUAGCGACCGUGACCCUUGUGGACAUCAUUCGACCAAUCAGGAACCGGAG
Molecule: long non-coding RNA, 339 nt
Organism: Branchiostoma floridae (Florida lancelet)
Lineage: Eukaryota; Metazoa; Chordata; Leptocardii; Amphioxiformes; Branchiostomatidae
Exons: 3
Source: RefSeq, a predicted model, not a curated record